GAUGAACGCUGGCGGCGUGCCUAAUACAUGCAAGUCGAGCGAACGGACGAGAAGCUUGCUCUUCUGAUGUUAGCGGCGGACGGGUGAGUAACACGUGGAUAACCUACCUAUAAGACUGGGAUAACUUCGGGAAACCGGAGCUAAUACCGGAUAAUAUUUUGAACCGCAUGGUUCAAAAGUGAAAGACGGUCUUGCUGUCACUUAUAGAUGGAUCCGCGCUGCAUUAGUUAGUUGGUAAGGUAACGGCUUACCAAGGCAACGAUGCAUAACCGACCUGAGAGGGUGAUCGGCCACACUGGAACUGAGCCACGGCCCAGACUCCUACGGGAGGCAGCGGUAGGGAAUCUUCCGGAAUGGGGGAAAGACUGACGGAGCAACGCCGCGUGAGUGAUGAAGGUCUUCGGAUCGUAAAACUCUGUUAUUAGGGAAGAACAUAUGUGUAAGUAACUGUGCACAUAUUGACGGUACCUAAUCAGAAAGCCACGGCUAACUACGUG
This 497-nucleotide ribosomal RNA is filed under the name uncultured bacterium. RNAcentral's name for it is "partial 16S ribosomal RNA". It matches the Rfam family "Bacterial small subunit ribosomal RNA", at positions 28 to 507 of the family's 1533-position model. The record is from RNAcentral.